Molecule: ribosomal RNA, 460 nt
Filed under: uncultured bacterium
Lineage: Bacteria
Description: partial 16S ribosomal RNA
Rfam family: Bacterial small subunit ribosomal RNA
Source: RNAcentral
CUACGGGUUGCAGCAGUGAGGAAUAUUGGUCAAUGGGCGAAAGCCUGAACCAGCCAUGCCGCGUGAAGGAUGACGGCCCUAUGGGUUGUAAACUUCUUUUAUACGGGAAGAAACACCUCUACGUGUAGAGGUUUGACGGUACCGUACGAAUAAGCAUCGGCUAACUCCGUGCCAGCAGCCGCGGUGAAUACGGAGGAUGCAAGCGUUAUCCGGAUUUAUUGGGUUUAAAGGGUACGUAGGCGGAAACUUAAGUCAGUAGUGAAAUCCCGCAGCUUAACUGUGGAACUGUUAUUGAUACUGGGUUUCUUGAAUAUUGUUGAGGUAGGCGGAAUAAGUAAUGUAGCGGUGAAAUGCUUAGAUAUUACUUAGAACACCGAUUGCGAAGGCAGCUUACUAAGCAAUUAUUGACGCUGAGGUACGAAAGCGUGGGGAGCGAACAGGAUUAGAUACCCUUGUAGUC